AUGGUGAAGGGUAGGCCCUCAGGUCCCAUUCAUGGACAUCCACUGGUAUAGAAAAAAGAGAAUUGAUACAGUGUCUGUGGACACCACACCUAUGAGUGAGCUCAAUCUAGAUCACUCUAGGACACAUUGCAAGAGAAGGAGGGAGAGAAAUCCACCUCAACAGAUGCAUGAAACUCAACAGAGAAAUACAAGAAAUAUGGGGGAAAAGGUAACAUGACAUCUCCUAAAGUUCAUAAUUUACCAGCAACUGACUCCAAAGAUAUUGAAGUGGGUGAAAUAUCAGAUAAAGAAUUUAAAAGACUGCUUGUAAAAAUGAUCAAUGAAUUCCAAGAGAACACAGAAAAACAACUGAAUGAAUUAAGGAAAUCAGUACAGGAUAUGAAUGAGAAAUCCAAUAAGGAUAGAGAGAUAUUGAAAAAGAGCCAAACAAAAAUCUUGAAAAUGAAAGACACAAUAAAUCAAAUAAAAUGUUUACUUGAAAGUCUCUCUAAUAGAGUGAACCAUGCUCAAGAAAGAAUCUCUGGCUUCAGAAUGAAUUAAAAAAAAAAAAAAAAACAAGAU
This 561-nucleotide long non-coding RNA is filed under the name Marmota monax (woodchuck). Lineage: Eukaryota; Metazoa; Chordata; Mammalia; Rodentia; Sciuridae. The record is from RNAcentral.